Long non-coding RNA from Leptonychotes weddellii (Weddell seal), 368 nucleotides. RefSeq lists it as uncharacterized. The record is from RefSeq and is a predicted model, not a curated record. Lineage: Eukaryota; Metazoa; Chordata; Mammalia; Carnivora; Phocidae.
GCGAAGGAAGGCUGGGCUCACCAGGUCCCUCCGGGCUGGACGGCGCCGGGGGCCGGUGGGGCGGGGAUCCGCACCCGGGGUCCCCCUGGGCGGGCUCCCUCAGCCACAAAGGAUACUACCUGCUCCAGACCGUACAGCUACUAGAUGGGGACGCCAUCUGCAACAACCUGGAUGCCUGAGAAACCUUGUGGAUCAGAACUCCUCCCCCUCAACCUCAGCCUGUGUUUCCUGGAAACAGAUGAGCAUGGAGACCUGAAUUUAUUAAAGAUGGCAAAGCCACAGCUCGAAAGAACCUGGGUCCCUGAAUCCAUCCUUAGAGGGGAGCCACACACACCACUCAAGAACAUUUUGGACUUGAACGUGAAAUA